AGUGAACGCUGGCGGUAGGCCUAACACAUGCAAGUCGAACGGCAGCACAGUAAGAGCUUGCUCUUACGGGUGGCGAGUGGCGGACGGGUGAGGAAUACAUCGGAAUCUACUUUUUCGUGGGGGAUAACGUAGGUAAACUUACGCUAAUACCGCAUACGACCUACGGUUGAAAGCAGGGGAUCUUCGGACCUUGCGCGAUUGAAUGAGCCGAUGUCGGAUUAGCUAGUUGGCGGGGUAAAGGCCCACCAAGGCGACGAUCCGUAGCUGGUCUGAGAGGAUGGUCAGCCACACUGGAACUGAGACACGGUCCAGACUCCUACGGGAGGCAGCAGUGGGGAAUAUUGGACAAUGGGCGCAAGCCUGAUCCAGCCAUACCGCGUGGGUGAAGAAGGCCUUCGGGUUGUAAAGCCCUUUUGUUGGGAAAGAAAAGCAGCAGGUUAAUACCCCGCUGUUCUGACGGUACCCAAAGAAUAAGCACCGGCUAACUUCGU
RNAcentral lists this ribosomal RNA (491 nucleotides) under uncultured bacterium. RNAcentral describes it as "partial 16S ribosomal RNA". It matches the Rfam family "Bacterial small subunit ribosomal RNA", at positions 29 to 506 of the family's 1533-position model. The record is from RNAcentral.